UGACCUCAGGUGAUUCACCCUCCUCAGCCUCUCAAAGUGCUGGGAUUACAGGUGUGAGCCACCACACCCAGCCAGUAUGUCUUUAUCAGCAGUGUGAAAAUGGACUAAUACAAUUGGCAAGAGCAUGAAGCCACAUGGAUUGGAACAUAAGGUGUGGGGAGGCUUGAAACAGUAAAAGGUGAAUCUAGAAAACCAAUGAGGAGGCCAGGCGCAGUGGCUCAUACCUACAAUGCCAACACCUAGGGAGGCCGAAGUGGGUAGAUCACUUGAGGUCAGGAGUUCAAGAUCAGUUUGGGCAACAUAGCAGGAUCCCUGUCUCUACAAAAAAUAAAAAAAUUAGCCAGGCCUGGAGGCUCGGACCUGUAGUCCCAGUUAUUCUGGAGGUGGAGGAAGGAUAAUUGCUUGAGCCUAGGAGGUGGAGGCUGCAGUGAGCUGAGAUUGCGCCACUGCACUCCAGCCUGGACAACUGAGCAAGACCUUAUUUAAAAAAAAAAAAAAAAGAAAAAAGAAAGAAAAGAAAGGCAACUAGGGCUACAUGUUUGAAUGGAAUGCAGACAAGUUUACUUUUUAUCCUGCAGCCAAUGAGAGACCAUCCAAGGAUUUUGAAGAGGACAAUGAGAGAAUGAUGUGAUAUGUUCUGCUUUUUAAGAUAAAGUACAGGAGAGUACAGGAGAAGGCAACUUCAUUUGAAAUCCUGAAAGAUGGUCCUGAGUUCAGAACUGAGUAAGAGACUCAGAUGUCUCCUAUCAACUACAAUACAUGCUCCAGGCCACCAUCACCGCAAUUCCAGGGAGGUAUACCUCUCACCACCUCCAAAACCUUGAUCGAAAUGCAAGCAUUCUACACAUGCUCCACAUUUAGAAGUAGCAAUCAGAAGCUGAGGAGAGCAUGCCUUGCUCAGAGGCUAGAAGAUCUGCCACAGCAACCAUCUGUUUAAAGUCCCUGGAUGCAAGUAAAAGGGGAAAAAAAUCCAAAGACUUUAUAUGUGCUGGUUGAUUGCAUAAAGGAUCAUAAAGUAGGAAUAAGAAUCCCAGUUCUAGGCUAGAACAAUCCUUGAAGGUGAUAAACAGAAAAUACAGCAAAACUUUUAUCAUGGGUGUUUGUGUGUAUUUGGGUGGUGGUAGUGGGAAUAGGCAGGUUAGGUUGAUUAACCAAAAAUGUAUUCAUCUUUAGUAUGCCAUUAUCAGUGAUAUGAAUUGCUCUGGAAUAAGUGGAUUGGACUUACUCGUGCAAUCACAUUUAGAGCCAGUGGUAGAAAUGCAAAUCUGAAAUGAGAACAGCAGCCCAUGCUAUCCAUUUAGCUAAUUAUGUAUUGAGUAGCUCCUACAUGUCAGACAAGCCUGCUCAUAACAUAAUAUGUGGGGCCCAGGGCAAAUGCACAAAGGGACUCAGUUCCACCUACCAUAUGUCUGAAGAUUUGCAAGUUAUACAUUAACAGCAUUUAAUAAAAUGUGUUCUGUUCUCCUACCUUGACAAAUAAAGCAUAUCUUCAUAAUGAUCUGGAAGCCAG
This 1510-nucleotide long non-coding RNA is filed under the name Callithrix jacchus (white-tufted-ear marmoset). RNAcentral's name for it is "lncRNA (ENSCJAG00000085140.1)". Lineage: Eukaryota; Metazoa; Chordata; Mammalia; Primates; Cebidae. The record is from RNAcentral.